UAUUUUGGCAGAUUAGUGUAUUUGAUUUAGAAUCAUUUUAAGUAAAAUUUUAUUACAAGUAAUAU
Molecule: transfer RNA, 65 nt
Filed under: Cautires sp. UPOL LB0123
Lineage: Eukaryota; Metazoa; Arthropoda; Insecta; Coleoptera; Lycidae
Also listed under: 17 other names
Description: tRNA-Leu
Source: RNAcentral